AAGCGUGCGCAGGCGGUUAUAUAAGACAGAUGUGAAAUCCCCGGGCUCAACCUGGGAACUGCAUUUGUGACUGUAUAGCUGGAGUGCGGCAGAGGGGGGAUGGAAUUCCGCGUGUAGCAGUGAAAUGCGUAGAUAUGCGGAGGAACACCGAUGGCGAAGGCAAUCCCCUGGGCCUGCACUGACGCUCAUGCACGAAAGCGUGGGGAGCAAACAGGAUUAGAUACCCCUGU
Molecule: ribosomal RNA, 230 nt
Filed under: uncultured bacterium
Lineage: Bacteria
Description: partial 16S ribosomal RNA
Rfam family: Bacterial small subunit ribosomal RNA
Source: RNAcentral